UGGGGAAUAUUGGACAAUGGGCGCAAGCCUGAUCCAGCAAUGCCGCGUGUGUGAAGAAGGCCUUCGGGUUGUAAAGCACUUUUAUCAGGAGCGAAACGCUGUCGGCUAAUACCCGGCGGAACUGACGGUACCUGAGGAAUAAGCACCGGCUAACUUCGUGCCAGCAGCCGCGGUAAUACGAAGGGUGCAAGCGUUAAUCGGAAUUACUGGGCGUAAAGCGUGCGUAGGCGGUUUCUUAAGUCUGCUGUGAAAUCCCCGGGCUCAACCUGGGAAUGGCAGUGGAUACUGGGGCAGGCUAGAGUGUGUGCAGAGGGUGGUGGAAUUCCCGGUGUAGCGGUGAAAUGCGUAGAGAUCGGGAGGAACAUCCGUGGGNGAAGGCGGCCACCUGGACAACACUGACGCUGAGGCACG
Molecule: ribosomal RNA, 411 nt
Filed under: uncultured bacterium
Lineage: Bacteria
Description: partial 16S ribosomal RNA
Rfam family: Bacterial small subunit ribosomal RNA
Source: RNAcentral